Molecule: ribosomal RNA, 253 nt
Filed under: uncultured bacterium
Lineage: Bacteria
Description: partial 16S ribosomal RNA
Rfam family: Bacterial small subunit ribosomal RNA
Source: RNAcentral
UACGAAGGGAGCUAGCGUUGUUCGGAAUCACUGGGCGUAAAGCGCACGUAGGCGGAUGUGUCAGUCAGGGGUGAAAUCCCGGAGCUCAACUUCGGAACUGCCUUUGAUACAGCACGUCUUGAGUCCGAUAGAGGUGGGUGGAAUUCCUAGUGUAGAGGUGAAAUUCGUAGAUAUUAGGAAGAACACCGGUGGCGAAGGCGGCCCACUGGAUCGGUACUGACGCUGCGGUGCGAAAGCGUGGGGAGCAAACAGG